UACGUAGGGUGCAAGCGUUAAUCGGAAUUACUGGGCGUAAAGCGUGCGCAGGCGGUUCUAUAAGACAGAGGUGAAAUCCCCGGGCUCAACCUGGGAACUGCAUUUGUGACUGUAGAGCUGGAGUACGGUAGAGGGGGAUGGAAUUCCGCGUGUAGCAGUGAAAUGCGUAGAUAUGCGGAGGAACACCGAUGGCGAAGGCAAUCCCCUGGACCUGUACUGACGCUCAUGCACGAAAGCGUGGGGAGCAAACAGG
RNAcentral lists this ribosomal RNA (253 nucleotides) under uncultured bacterium. Its description in RNAcentral is "partial 16S ribosomal RNA". It matches the Rfam family "Bacterial small subunit ribosomal RNA", at positions 524 to 776 of the family's 1533-position model. The record is from RNAcentral.